Molecule: transfer RNA, 60 nt
Filed under: Bragasellus peltatus
Lineage: Eukaryota; Metazoa; Arthropoda; Malacostraca; Isopoda; Asellidae
Description: transfert RNA-H(CAC)
Source: RNAcentral
GUUUUAGUAGUUUAUAUAAAAUAGUAAUAUGUGAGGUUACAGAAAUAAUUUUCUAAGACA